GCUGCCGUCGCCACCUGGACGCGGCCGCCGGCCGGUGCCCCGGGUGGUGGUGGUACGUCAGCGACCGCGCCAGCUGGAACGGCCUCUUGCCGCCGCCGCCUCAAUCAUCCAUCUCACGCGCCGACGCAGCAGCAGCGGCCGGCCGCGCCGCCGCGGGAGAAGGCGAAUCGAGGCUGUGGCGGUUAACCGGAGGCGAGGAGAAGGGGGAGAAGGAAGACGAAGAGGAAGCGAGCUGGGCAAGCAAUCGACGCAAGAAGAUCAGAAGGUGGGGGCACCAGAGCCGCACUUUAUAUGAUUUCUUGUGGUGGUGGAGAUUUUGACGACUUUCUUGAUGCGUUUUUUC
This 343-nucleotide unclassified non-coding RNA is filed under the name Zea mays. RNAcentral describes it as "misc RNA Zm00001eb200580". Lineage: Eukaryota; Viridiplantae; Streptophyta; Magnoliopsida; Poales; Poaceae. The record is from RNAcentral.